RNAcentral lists this long non-coding RNA (434 nucleotides) under Mus spicilegus (steppe mouse). RNAcentral describes it as "lncRNA (ENSMSIG00000007305.1)". Lineage: Eukaryota; Metazoa; Chordata; Mammalia; Rodentia; Muridae. The record is from RNAcentral.
CUCUCUCAGAAAACACCCAAAGGGCAAACUGUUUAGACCUGCAUCUGCCAGGGCUCCAAGGUGGACAUUCUUGGGCCAGUCUCAGCACUCUGCUUCCCUCCAGGACUAGGCACUUGCCCAGCCCAGCCCUCAAUGCAGGAGCUUGUCCUGGGACAGGCAGAGAAAGGAUCAGGAACAGAGAGAAGCCCUCAGAGGAACAGGAAAGGAGGCUGCACUGGGGCAGAAGAGACAGCUGGGAAGGACUGGGAAGAAAGCCCUUGGGGCAUGGCUGAGCUGCUACAAAGGGAGAGUCCCAAAGUUCAGGAUUGUGAACUGCAUGUAAUGUGAAGCACUGGGGUGGCCAGGAGCCGAGUAUGCAGCAGGAAUUGUUCAUCAGCACAUCAUACCAAAGCUUGAAGAUCACUCUUACAAGACACCACUCAAGUGAAUAAAGU